Non-coding RNA from Cricetulus griseus (Chinese hamster), 618 nucleotides. The record is from RefSeq and is a predicted model, not a curated record. NCBI's taxonomy places the organism in Eukaryota, Metazoa, Chordata, Mammalia, Rodentia, Cricetidae.
UACACCCACACCAGCCACUUCCCCAGCUCUCCUCCUCCUCCUCUGCCUCCUCCUCCUCCACUCCCCCCCUUUAUUACCCUUUGUGUCAUCCUCCACAGCUCCAGGGAAGGCACUCAAAAGUGGGGGGCAGGAAAGACAAUUAUCAGCUUUCCAAAUUUCUACGGAUAUGAAGAUUUACACCUAGUCAUCAGUGGGACCCCAUGAAGUCAGCCAGAAAGCCUAUAUCCACUUACGUAUCUUUGUAAAAUUUGCUGGAUUUUGAAAGUGUGCUUGUGAUCGACCCUUUGGAAUUGGUUAACCUACCAGGGUUGUCCGUGGAGGAGACUGAUUCACCUUCCCCCUGGAGCCAUUAACUGCCUAUAAACUCUUCAUUGAUGAGAGAGCCUUGGAGAUGUCCACUUCUGCCUCUGUAAGAUAGAUAUUGAAGGCUGUGUGGUUUAGACAAUAUCUAAAGAAAUUAGACACUCAAGAGCCAAGAAAAUAAAUACAAGAUAUCAAGAGCACAGAGUAUUUUCUUCCGUCAACCCACAGAACCCAGAAACUCUUCUAAAUCUAUCAAGCACAGAGGAAGGACCACCUUGGCAGAUGGCCACAGAGGAUGUCAACAAUUUUUUGGAG